GAUGAACGCUGGCGGCGUGCCUAAUACAUGCAAGUCGAACGCACAGCGAAAGGUGCUUGCACCUUUCAAGUGAGUGGCGAACGGGUGAGUAACACGUGGACAACCUGCCUCAAGGCUGGGGAUAACAUUUGGAAACAGAUGCUAAUACCGAAUAAAACUUAGUGUCGCAUGACACAAAAGUUAAAGGCGCUUCGGCGUCACCUAGAGAUGGAUCCGCGGUGCAUUAGUUAGUGUGGGUAAAGCCUACAAGACAAUGAUGCAUAGCCGAGUUGAGAGACUGAUCGGCCACAUUGGGACUGAGACA
RNAcentral lists this ribosomal RNA (304 nucleotides) under uncultured bacterium. Its description in RNAcentral is "bacterial SSU rRNA". It matches the Rfam family "Bacterial small subunit ribosomal RNA", at positions 28 to 326 of the family's 1533-position model. The record is from RNAcentral.